RNAcentral lists this ribosomal RNA (491 nucleotides) under uncultured bacterium. Its description in RNAcentral is "bacterial SSU rRNA". It matches the Rfam family "Bacterial small subunit ribosomal RNA", at positions 32 to 533 of the family's 1533-position model. The record is from RNAcentral.
AAUCAACGCUGGCGGCGUGCCUCAGACAUGCAAGUCGAACGAUUAAAGCUCUCUUCGGAGAGUGUAUAGAGUGGCGCACGGGUGAGUAACACGUAAGUAAUCUACCCUCGAGUGGGGAAUAACAACCGGAAACGGUUGCUAAUACCGCAUAAUGCAGCGGCACCGCAAGGUGACAGUUGUUAAAGAUUUAUCGCUUGAGGAGGAGCUUGCGGCAGAUUAGCUAGUUGGUAGGGUAACGGCUUACCAAGGCUACGAUCUGUAACCGGUCUAAGAGGACGGUCGGUCACACUGACACUGAAUAACGGGUCAGACUCCUACGGGAGGCAGCAGUCGGGAAUUUUGGGCAAUGGGCGAAAGCCUGACCCAGCAACGCCGCGUGAAGGAUGAAGUAUUUCGGUAUGUAAACUUCGAAAGAAUAGGAAGAAUUAAUGACGGUACUAUUUAUAAGGUCCGGCUAACUACGUGCCAGCAGCCGCGGUAAUACGUACGUG